GAACCGAUACCAACAGGGUCCGGGGGUUACCUCCUUAACGAAGAUUCCCUAUCCCGACCGUUCAUCACUGUGUGUGCUCCUAGAGGUGUGAGUAUGGGGUGGUACCAAGCAGAGAGACUAAGGGCAGGAGAGGGUUGACGGUUUUUGGGAAGAGUAGAGACUCUGAGCUGCAUCAUAGUCUAAUCUUUCUGAUACAUUCAGAUCCAACACCUACGGGUACUAAACAUAGGUUACCGUUGUCAUUGAGAAGAAGUAAAAGAUAAACUAUAUAAUACACUGAUGAGUGACGUACAGAAUAAGGAAUCAAAGAAGAUCAAGAUGUAGAAUUUAAGGUAAACAUUAAACAAUUUCCUGGGGAAGCAGACAACUGUACAGGAAUUGGGGUUGGCCAGAUUGUACUCAGCCAACCCACCUCGGUUCACCUAAAUUCUGGAUGAAUACCAGUGUUAUAGAUACAAGAAUGGUACCAAGAACUAAGAUGAUUUUAAUGGCUGAAAGUAAUCGUUAAUGUGACUAACUUAGGUUUGAGAGAUGAAUAGAACAUUCUUAACCUCACAGCACCUAUAACUGAUGAAGGGUGGGCUAGUACCAGCAAAGGACGCAUACGACAGAAAUUACCACAAAGGGUGGUUAGGAAUUGCACCCUGGGGUUAUUGGUCUAACCAGUUCGAGUUAGUCAUCAGAGGCCAGUUGUAGGAGGCUAAAGAAGGUACAGGAGGAGUUUUGAUCAGGAUGGGAUUAGCUUUGUCUAGAUGGAUGCUAUUGGCAUCCUCAGGGAGGUUCCAGAUGAAUACAAAGUUAUGAAUCAAAUAUGUGAAGGCUUUAACACUACAUUAUGUUGGUAGUUGACAAUAAAUAAUAAUGUGGAUUGAAUUAAUGACAUAUUUUAAUCAACAGAGAUUCAUGAAUGAAACAGGGGAUGCAGUAAAGAGGUUCUCUGACCAAUUAUCCGCCACCUCCCUCAUGACCUGGUAAAAUAGACUGACUCUCGAUAGGUUACGGGCAAAGAGGAUGGUGUAGGUAGAAUGAUUAAGUUCAUUGCUGUACGUAAAUUUUUGAUAACACAGCUCAUGUUUGGGAAAUGGAAAAGUGUUGCAAGAACUGUAUUAUGGGCUGCUUUCACCUGUAUGAGUGUGUUUGGGUUGUGUGGUUGUUGUUUGGUCCCGUGUGCAAGAGGUUUAAUCACCAGAACUCUAGAGAGAUGAUAACGGAGCAGAUGGUGAGCUACGGACCGAGUCAAAGUUCAGAUCAAUGAGAUGACAAGUACCUACCGCCGAGCAAGAUUGUUCUUUUUUGUCACGUCUUGCAGACGUGAAGAGGGGGAUUUGUAAUAAAGAUAAUCUAACGUUUUACCUAA
Non-coding RNA from Salmo salar (Atlantic salmon), 1357 nucleotides. NCBI's taxonomy places the organism in Eukaryota, Metazoa, Chordata, Actinopteri, Salmoniformes, Salmonidae. The record is from RefSeq and is a predicted model, not a curated record.